RNAcentral lists this ribosomal RNA (301 nucleotides) under uncultured bacterium. RNAcentral's name for it is "partial 16S ribosomal RNA". It matches the Rfam family "Bacterial small subunit ribosomal RNA", at positions 509 to 807 of the family's 1533-position model. The record is from RNAcentral.
CAGUCGCCACGGUAACACGAAGGGGGCUAGCGUUGUUCGGAAUUACUGGGCGUAAAGCGCACGUAGGCGGAUAUUUAAGUCAGGGGUGAAAUCCCGCAGCUCAACUGCGGAACUGCCUUUGAUACUGGGUAUCUUGAGUAUGGAAGAGGUUAGUGGAAUUGCGAGUGUAGAGGUGAAAUUCGUAGAUAUUCGCAGGAACACCAGUGGCGAAGGCGGCUAACUGGUCCAUAACUGACGCUGAGGUGCGAAAGCGUGGGGAGCAAACAGGAUUAGAUACACCAGUAGUCCCUGUCUCUUAUAC